GGUUGUGGCCUAGUGGUAGAGCACUUGCCUAGCAUGUAUGAGGUACUGGGUUCAAUUCUCAGAAUUG
This 67-nucleotide transfer RNA is filed under the name Marmota monax (woodchuck). Its description in RNAcentral is "tRNA.Ala". The record is from RNAcentral. Lineage: Eukaryota; Metazoa; Chordata; Mammalia; Rodentia; Sciuridae.